GACGAACGCUGGCGGCGUGCUUAACACAUGCAAGUCGAACGCUGAAGCUUGGUGCUUGCACUGGGUGGAUGAGUGGCGAACGGGUGAGUAAUACGUGAGUAACCUGCCCUUGACUCUGGGAUAAGCCUGGGAAACUGGGUCUAAUACUGGAUACGACAUGUCACCGCAUGGUGGUGUGUGGAAAGGGUUUUAGUGGUUUUGGAUGGGCUCACGGCCUAUCAGCUUGUUGGGGGGGUAAUGGCUCGCCAAGGCGACGACGGGUAGCCGGCCUGAGAGGGUGACCGGCCACAAUGGGACUGAGACACGGCCCAGACUCCUACGGGAGGCAGCAGUGGGGAAUAUUGCACAAUGGGCGAAAGCCUGAUGCAGCGACGCCGCGUGAGGGAUGACGGCCUUCGGGUUGUAAACCUCUUUCAGCACGGAAGAAGCGAAAGUGACGGUACGUGCAGAAGAAGCGCCGGCUAACUACGUG
RNAcentral lists this ribosomal RNA (472 nucleotides) under uncultured bacterium. RNAcentral describes it as "partial 16S ribosomal RNA". It matches the Rfam family "Bacterial small subunit ribosomal RNA", at positions 28 to 507 of the family's 1533-position model. The record is from RNAcentral.